UAGGGAAUAUUGGACAAUGGGCGCAAGCCUGAUCCAGCCAUGCCGCGUGAGUGAAGAAGGCCUUCGGGUUGUAAAGCUCUUUUGUCCGGAAAGAAAAGCUCUGGGUUAAUACCCUGGAGUCCUGACGGUACCGGAAGAAUAAGCACCGGCUAACUUCGUGCCAGCAGCCGCGGUAAUACGAAGGGUGCAAGCGUUACUCGGAAUUACUGGGCGUAAAGCGUGCGUAGGUGGUUUGUUAAGUCUGAUGUGAAAGCCCUGGGCUCAACCUGGGAAUGGCAUUGGAUACUGGCAGGCUAGAGUGCGGUAGAGGGUAGUGGAAUUCCCGGUGUAGCAGUGAAAUGCGUAGAGAUCGGGAGGAACAUCUGUGGCGAAGGCGACUACCUGGACCAGCACUGACACUGAGGCACGAAAGCGUGGGGAGCAAACA
Molecule: ribosomal RNA, 427 nt
Filed under: uncultured Thermomonas sp.
Lineage: Bacteria; Pseudomonadati; Pseudomonadota; Gammaproteobacteria; Lysobacterales; Lysobacteraceae
Description: bacterial SSU rRNA
Rfam family: Bacterial small subunit ribosomal RNA
Source: RNAcentral